UCGGGAAUUUUGGGCAAUGGGCGAAAGCCUGACCCAGCAACGCCGCGUGAGGGAUGAAGUAUUUCGGUAUGUAAACCUCGAAAGAAUGGGAAGAAUAAAUGACGGUACCAUUUAUAAGCUCCGGCUAACUACGUGCCAGCAGCCGCGGUAAUACGUAGGGAGCAAGCGUUGUUCGGAUUUACUGGGCGUAAAGGGCGCGUAGGCGGCGCGGUAAGUCACUUGUGAAAUCUCUGAGCUUAACUCAGAACGGCCAAGUGAUACUGCUGUGCUAGAGUGCGGAAGAGGCGACCGGAAUUCUUGGUGUAGCGGUAAAAUGCGUAGAUAUCAAGAGGAACACCUGAGGCGAAGGCGGGUUGCUGGGCCGACACUGACGCUGAUGCGCGAAAGCCAGGGGAGCAAACG
RNAcentral lists this ribosomal RNA (402 nucleotides) under uncultured bacterium. RNAcentral describes it as "bacterial SSU rRNA". It matches the Rfam family "Bacterial small subunit ribosomal RNA", at positions 355 to 774 of the family's 1533-position model. The record is from RNAcentral.